GUCCUUAGUUACCAGCACGUUAUGUGGGCACUCUAAGGAGACUGCCGGUGGACAACCGAGGAAGUGGGGAUGACGUCAAGUCAUCAUGGCCCUUACGGCCUGGGCUACACACGUGCUACAAUGGUCGGUACAAAGGGUUGCCAAGCCGCGAGGUGGAGCUAAUCCCAUAAAACCGAUCGUAGUCCGGAUCGCAGUCUGCAACUCGACUGCGUGAAGUCGGAAUCGCUAGUAAUCGUGAAUCAGAAUGUCACGGUGAAUACGUUCCCGGGCCUC
RNAcentral lists this ribosomal RNA (273 nucleotides) under uncultured Pseudomonas sp. Its description in RNAcentral is "partial 16S ribosomal RNA". It matches the Rfam family "Bacterial small subunit ribosomal RNA", at positions 1107 to 1381 of the family's 1533-position model. Lineage: Bacteria; Pseudomonadati; Pseudomonadota; Gammaproteobacteria; Pseudomonadales; Pseudomonadaceae. The record is from RNAcentral.